AGAGUUUGAUCAUGGCUCAGAUUGAACGCUGGCGGAAUUUACACAUGCAAGUCGAACGGCAGCACGGGGGCAACCCUGGUGGCGAGUGGCGAACGGGUGAGUAAUACAUCGGAACGUGCCCAGUCGUGGGGGAUAACGUAGCGAAAGCUACGCUAAUACCGCAUACGAACUCUGGUUGAAAGCGGGGGAUCGCAAGACCUCGCGCGAUUGGAGCGGCCGAUGGCAGAUUAGGUAGUUGGUGGGGUAAAGGCUCACCAAGCCGACGAUCUGUAGCUGGUCUGAGAGGACGACCAGCCACACUGGGACUGAGACACGGCCCAGACUCCUACGGGAGGCAGCAGUGGGGAAUUUUGGACAAUGGGCGCAAGCCUGAUCCAGCCAUUCCGCGUGCAGGAUGAAGGCCCUCGGGUUGUAAACUGCUUUUGUACGGAACGAAACGCGCUGAGUUAAUACCUCGGCGUAAUGACGGUACCGUAAGAAUAAGCACCGGCUAACUACGUGCCAGCAGCCGCGGUAAUACGUAGGGUGCAAGCGUUAAUCGGAAUUACUGGGCGUAAAGCGUGCGCAGGCGGUUAUGUAAGACAGGUGUGAAAUCCCCGGGCUUAACCUGGGAACUGCAUUUGUGACUGCAUAGCUAGAGUACGGUAGAGGGGGAUGGAAUUCCGCGUAGCAGUGAAAUGCGUAGAUAUGCGGAGGAACACCGAUGGCGAAGGCAACCCCUGGACCUGUACUGACGCUCAUGCACGAAAGCGUGGGGAGCAAACAGGAUUAGAUACCCUAGUAGUCC
This 787-nucleotide ribosomal RNA is filed under the name uncultured bacterium. RNAcentral's name for it is "bacterial SSU rRNA". It matches the Rfam family "Bacterial small subunit ribosomal RNA", at positions 8 to 796 of the family's 1533-position model. The record is from RNAcentral.